This 2931-nucleotide ribosomal RNA is filed under the name Escherichia coli. RNAcentral describes it as "bacterial LSU rRNA". It matches the Rfam family "Bacterial large subunit ribosomal RNA". Lineage: Bacteria; Pseudomonadati; Pseudomonadota; Gammaproteobacteria; Enterobacterales; Enterobacteriaceae. The record is from RNAcentral.
GGGUUGUGAGGUUAAGCGACUAAGCGUACACGGUGGAUGCCCUGGCAGUCAGAGGCGAUGAAGGACGUGCUAAUCUGCGAUAAGCGUCGGUAAGGUGAUAUGAACCGUUAUAACCGGCGAUUUCCGAAUGGGGAAACCCAGUGUGAUUCGUCACACUAUCAUUAACUGAAUCCAUAGGUUAAUGAGGCGAACCGGGGGAACUGAAACAUCUAAGUACCCCGAGGAAAAGAAAUCAACCGAGAUUCCCCCAGUAGCGGCGAGCGAACGGGGAGCAGCCCAGAGCCUGAAUCAGUGUGUGUGUUAGUGGAAGCGUCUGGAAAGGCGUGCGAUACAGGGUGACAGCCCCGUACACAAAAAUGCACAUAUUGUGAGCUCGAUGAGUAGGGCGGGACACGUGGUAUCCUGUCUGAAUAUGGGGGGACCAUCCUCCAAGGCUAAAUACUCCUGACUGACCGAUAGUGAACCAGUACCGUGAGGGAAAGGCGAAAAGAACCCCGGCGAGGGGAGUGAAAAAGAACCUGAAACCGUGUACGUACAAGCAGUGGGAGCACGCUUAGGCGUGUGACUGCGUACCUUUUGUAUAAUGGGUCAGCGACUUAUAUUCUGUAGCAAGGUUAACCGAAUAGGGGAGCCGAAGGGAAACCGAGUCUUAACUGGGCGUUAAGUUGCAGGGUAUAGACCCGAAACCCGGUGAUCUAGCCAUGGGCAGGUUGAAGGUUGGGUAACACUAACUGGAGGACCGAACCGACUAAUGUUGAAAAAUUAGCGGAUGACUUGUGGCUGGGGGUGAAAGGCCAAUCAAACCGGGAGAUAGCUGGUUCUCCCCGAAAGCUAUUUAGGUAGCGCCUCGUGAAUUCAUCUCCGGGGGUAGAGCACUGUUUCGGCAAGGGGGUCAUCCCGACUUACCAACCCGAUGCAAACUGCGAAUACCGGAGAAUGUUAUCACGGGAGACACACGGCGGGUGCUAACGUCCGUCGUGAAGAGGGAAACAACCCAGACCGCCAGCUAAGGUCCCAAAGUCAUGGUUAAGUGGGAAACGAUGUGGGAAGGCCCAGACAGCCAGGAUGUUGGCUUAGAAGCAGCCAUCAUUUAAAGAAAGCGUAAUAGCUCACUGGUCGAGUCGGCCUGCGCGGAAGAUGUAACGGGGCUAAACCAUGCACCGAAGCUGCGGCAGCGACGCUUAUGCGUUGUUGGGUAGGGGAGCGUUCUGUAAGCCUGUGAAGGUGUGCUGUGAGGCAUGCUGGAGGUAUCAGAAGUGCGAAUGCUGACAUAAGUAACGAUAAAGCGGGUGAAAAGCCCGCUCGCCGGAAGACCAAGGGUUCCUGUCCAACGUUAAUCGGGGCAGGGUGAGUCGACCCCUAAGGCGAGGCCGAAAGGCGUAGUCGAUGGGAAACAGGUUAAUAUUCCUGUACUUGGUGUUACUGCGAAGGGGGGACGGAGAAGGCUAUGUUGGCCGGGCGACGGUUGUCCCGGUUUAAGCGUGUAGGCUGGUUUUCCAGGCAAAUCCGGAAAAUCAAGGCUGAGGCGUGAUGACGAGGCACUACGGUGCUGAAGCAACAAAUGCCCUGCUUCCAGGAAAAGCCUCUAAGCAUCAGGUAACAUCAAAUCGUACCCCAAACCGACACAGGUGGUCAGGUAGAGAAUACCAAGGCGCUUGAGAGAACUCGGGUGAAGGAACUAGGCAAAAUGGUGCCGUAACUUCGGGAGAAGGCACGCUGAUAUGUAGGUGAAGUCCCUUGCGGAUGGAGCUGAAAUCAGUCGAAGAUACCAGCUGGCUGCAACUGUUUAUUAAAAACACAGCACUGUGCAAACACGAAAGUGGACGUAUACGGUGUGACGCCUGCCCGGUGCCGGAAGGUUAAUUGAUGGGGUCAGCGCAAGCGAAGCUCUUGAUCGAAGCCCCGGUAAACGGCGGCCGUAACUAUAACGGUCCUAAGGUAGCGAAAUUCCUUGUCGGGUAAGUUCCGACCUGCACGAAUGGCGUAAUGAUGGCCAGGCUGUCUCCACCCGAGACUCAGUGAAAUUGAACUCGCUGUGAAGAUGCAGUGUACCCGCGGCAAGACGGAAAGACCCCGUGAACCUUUACUAUAGCUUGACACUGAACAUUGAGCCUUGAUGUGUAGGAUAGGUGGGAGGCUUUGAAGUGUGGACGCCAGUCUGCAUGGAGCCGACCUUGAAAUACCACCCUUUAAUGUUUGAUGUUCUAACGUGGACCCGUGAUCCGGGUUGCGGACAGUGUCUGGUGGGUAGUUUGACUGGGGCGGUCUCCUCCUAAAGAGUAACGGAGGAGCACGAAGGUUGGCUAAUCCUGGUCGGACAUCAGGAGGUUAGUGCAAUGGCAUAAGCCAGCUUGACUGCGAGCGUGACGGCGCGAGCAGGUGCGAAAGCAGGUCAUAGUGAUCCGGUGGUUCUGAAUGGAAGGGCCAUCGCUCAACGGAUAAAAGGUACUCCGGGGAUAACAGGCUGAUACCGCCCAAGAGUUCAUAUCGACGGCGGUGUUUGGCACCUCGAUGUCGGCUCAUCACAUCCUGGGGCUGAAGUAGGUCCCAAGGGUAUGGCUGUUCGCCAUUUAAAGUGGUACGCGAGCUGGGUUUAGAACGUCGUGAGACAGUUCGGUCCCUAUCUGCCGUGGGCGCUGGAGAACUGAGGGGGGCUGCUCCUAGUACGAGAGGACCGGAGUGGACGCAUCACUGGUGUUCGGGUUGUCAUGCCAAUGGCACUGCCCGGUAGCUAAAUGCGGAAGAGAUAAGUGCUGAAAGCAUCUAAGCACGAAACUUGCCCCGAGAUGAGUUCUCCCUGACCCUUUAAGGGUCCUGAAGGAACGUUGAAGACGACGACGUUGAUAGGCCGGGUGUGUAAGCGCAGCGAUGCGUUGAGCUAACCGGUACUAAUGAACCGUGAGGCUUAACCUUACAACGCCGAAGGUGUUU